GAUGAACGCUGGCGGCGUGCCUAAUACAUGCAAGUCGAGCGAACAGACGAGGAGCUUGCUCCUCUGACGUUAGCGGCGGACGGGUGAGUAACACGUGGAUAACCUACCUAUAAGACUGGGAUAACUUCGGGAAACCGGAGCUAAUACCGGAUAAUAUAUUGAACCGCAUGGUUCAAUAGUGAAAUACGGUUUUGCUGUCACGUAUAGAUGGAUCCGCGCCGCAUUAGCGAGUUGGUAAGGUAACGGCUUACUAAGGCGACGAUGCGUAGCCGACCUGAGGGGGUGAUAGGCCACCCUGGAACGGAGCCACGGUCCAGACUCCUAAGGGAGGCAGCAGUAGGGAAUCUUACGCAAUGGGCGAAAGCCUGACGGAGCAACGCCGAGUGAGUGAUGAAGGUGUUCGGAUCGUAAAACUCUGUUAUUAGGGAAGAACAAAUGUGUAAGUAACUAUGCACGUAUUGACGGUAACUAAUCAGAAAGCCACGGCUAACUACGUG
This 497-nucleotide ribosomal RNA is filed under the name uncultured bacterium. RNAcentral describes it as "partial 16S ribosomal RNA". It matches the Rfam family "Bacterial small subunit ribosomal RNA", at positions 28 to 507 of the family's 1533-position model. The record is from RNAcentral.